Equus caballus (horse) is the source of this 2576-nucleotide non-coding RNA. The record is from RefSeq and is a predicted model, not a curated record. Lineage: Eukaryota; Metazoa; Chordata; Mammalia; Perissodactyla; Equidae.
UGCGCUCCUGUAGGAGAGAGUUGACCCACCCUAGGGCGUUUGAGGUCGCGUGGAGGCAGCCGAAGUGGCUCGAGGUGGAGGAAGGAUGCAGUAGCCCGAGCGUGUUCAAAGGCUGCCGUGACGCGCCAGCCUUAGAAAGUGAGAUGCAAUGAAUACACGUAACGUUCUGUACUUAAGCUCUCUCCUUUGCAAAAAGAUCCACAACUCGGCAUUUCACAUCCAAACGAUGAAAAUUUCCCGGAUGCCAUCAACACUUGGAAGAUUUUGUUGGGUUCUGGGCAUGACAGUACCAAAGAACCCAGACUCCAAGUAUAUGAAAGCUCAACAGGCUGCACCGUAAAUUAUGCUUCAGUAUAAAGUAAAAUAAAUUGAGCCAGGCAUUACUGAGUAAGCACUGAGGAUGCGGCGAUGACCCAGACAGAGAAGGCCCCGCUCUUGUAGGUCAUCUCUUGCAGUGGGGGACAUGAUAGGCACACGCAUCUUCCCAAAGGAUAUUAAGAAAUUGGGACAUGCUUCUGAUAGAAUAUUAAGUGAAAAAAGUAGGAUAUAGACUAUAUACAAUAUGGUCUCAGUUUUGUUUUUCAACGAUUUAAAGGAUAUGUAUUUAUAUUGCACACCAAAAAAAAGACAAGGUAGAAAUACGAUAAGAUAUUACCAACUUUUGACUGGUAGGAUUAAAAGUUAUUUUUUAUACUUUUCUAAAUUUCCUAAAAUAAAUGCUGUUUUUGAUAAUCCUAAAACAAUAAAAAUAAAAAAUAUACUGUACAAAAUAUACAUUAUACCUAGGAGUAGGUAAUAGUCUUCGCUUCACAGUGUCUAAAAUACCUGUAAUAGUUCAACAUACAUCAAACGGGUUCAUAGGGAAUAGCUAGUCUUAAAAGUUUUUAAAAAAUUUCUUGUUCUGUAUUUCAUAUUUCUUCACUAAAAAUCAGCCUUAAUAAAUAUUCUUAAAGUGAUUUUAACUGAGUUUUAUAGGCUGUAUUAUUUUCCUUUAUAAAGCUUUUCUGGAGUUAAAUUGAAGUUUAUUGUCUUUAGAAAGUAGAUUGCACUGAGCCCGCUAAGUCAUUCCUUUGCCAUAGAGACAGUAGUGCCUUCACCACUGUCUUACUGUAGAGUAGGGCUUACCGCGGGACUGUGUCAAAAGAACAUUUUCUGAAGUAGAUUUUAAAAUAGUAUUCACACCAUUUGUUCCUGGAGACUUGUGGGUUCAGAUAGGACAUGCUCAAUUUAAGAAUCUAAGUUGAGGUUUUCGUCUUUACAUCACAUCCAUUUACUCUUUGACUUUGAGUCGUUUACCCUCUUGUGACUUUUUAAUUUUGUAACAUACAGAAUAAUACUUAAGGUUAUUCUACAUUCAACAAACAUUUGUUGAGUAACUGCUAUUUCAAGAUAUUCUACUGGAUGUCGGGGCCACUAGCAAUCUGAGAUAUUCACUGCCUGAUCUAGAAGUAAAUAAAUCAUUACAGUGUGGUGAAGGAGAAAGACUGACGUGGGCUCUGCGUUCAUUCAUUAUAUCCCUCCGUAGGCACUUAGGGGUGUCUGUGCUGUUCCAGGAAGAGCAGUCCACGGCUCCUUUUCUUACAGGCUGGUGGAAGAGUCCACUUUAUAAACAUAAUAGCAGUGUGAUGAACAUGAGGAACAGGGGCCUGGAAGCACAGGAGGAAGUGAUUCACUUUGAUUUGUGAAACCAAGAAGGACUUUUGGAGGAGGCAUUAUUUGACCCCUGUCUUAAAGGGUCCACACAAAUGAAUCAGGUAGACCAGAGGGAGAGGGGCAUGGCAGACCGGAGGAACUCCUUACACAAAGAACACAGGGAGGCUGCUACUAGGUAAUGGCUUUGUGGCUGCAGGUGCGUGAAGGUGGGGCUGUUUGUGGGAGCUGACGCUGUCUGAGGAGCCCGGCUGUGCUGGAGAUGGGGCUUUACAGAAACGAUGUCUAUAGCAGCACCAUCCCAAACUUUCUGUGAGGAUGGAAGUAUCCUCUGUACUGUCAUGUGGCUGUGGAGCUGCUGAAGAGUGACUGGUGUGUCUUAGAAGUGGAAUUUUGAAUUUUGCUUAAUAUCAAUUUAUUUAAAUUUAAAUAGCCACAUGUAUGUGUUAAUCAUGUUUUUUAUUUUCUGUAUUUUAUGAUGCUUUGGACAUGUUGGGGGCCCUGCUGACUAAGGAGAACCUGCCCCCACCAGGACUAGCUAGUUCCUGGAGACAGCAAACAACUUGCCUGUGAGCACGUCUUUCAUGUGCAAACCAACCAGUCCAAAGCCACAGCCACCUCCUCUCCUCUGUCUAGGUCACUCACCCAGCCAGUGGUUCCCUGCCCUGAAUCACCUGGGGCCAGGGAGAGAGAGUUAGAGACCACGCCACAGCCUAGAGCCCACUGAAAUCGUUCAGGCUAUCCAGUCCUAAACUGUUUAUCCUGCCCUACCUUGCCUUUUGUCUGGAAACCACAGUAAAGGCUUGUGCCCCUGUUUUCCUCUCCUUCCUCCUCACCAACCCUGGUACUUGCCCAUGUGGCCCUGUGUGGCACGGGGUGCCCCCUCCUCUUGGGAACUGUGAGUAAUAAACUUUCUUUCAAGGCAA